Molecule: long non-coding RNA, 381 nt
Filed under: Rattus norvegicus (Norway rat)
Lineage: Eukaryota; Metazoa; Chordata; Mammalia; Rodentia; Muridae
Description: long non-coding RNA NONRATT014012
Source: RNAcentral
GGAAACCAUAGCCCCACUGCGCAAACUCCACAAGUCCAGGCAGGCCCAGAGCUGCUGGACUGGACUGUCUCUGUGGGAUACGGUCAAGGGCCAGUGGGAGCUGGAGUCCUGUCCCAUCCUGAAGCAAUGUUCAGAAGGGAGAAGCCAAAUGUGGAUGAUCUGCUCACUGAUCGUGCGUGAGCUUCGAAAUGCUGGCUUGAUAGCUCUCCAUGCUGUGGGGGAUGGAGAAGGUCAACUGGCACGCAUGCAGGGCAGGCAGUGCCGGCUGCUUCUCACUUAUGACUGGACAAAAUCCUCAGCGGCUCUGCUUUAGUUAGUUCUUGUUGUCGUUUGUUUGUUUAUUUGUAAAGGAAAAUGUUGAGCAAGCAUUGGUCUCUCACA